Molecule: long non-coding RNA, 463 nt
Filed under: Gossypium barbadense (sea-island cotton)
Lineage: Eukaryota; Viridiplantae; Streptophyta; Magnoliopsida; Malvales; Malvaceae
Description: long non-coding RNA (GBAR_LNC011396)
Source: RNAcentral
UUCGUCUUGAUACUUACCGAUAGAAAAGGCGAUGCGCACUUGUUGAGUGACCCUAAAUUGGCCUUCGUUGCUAAGCCCUUGUAGUUGAUAAGGUUGUGGAUGCUUGGUAGUGGUUAAGCAAAGCUUUUCCACCAUCGUCGUGCUGGCUAUGUUCGAGCAAAUUUCACCAUCAAUAAUAACUCUACAAAGCUUACCUUGUACAUGGCAGCGAGUAUGAAAGAGAUGUUCUCGUUUCUGCUCGCUCUUUGGUUUUGCCAAAGAUGAUUGUCCACGAUCAUGAAAAUCAUCAUCCAUUCUAGGGACACGUUGAGGGUUGCACCUAUGGGGCUGGUUAUCCCUAUCUUCCUUAAUUGGAUCUCGAUAUUGAUGUUUUUGAUUCACUCGUACCUCAUUCAAAGUAGUAUUCAAUGCUUGAAGUGUAGCAUUUAUUUGUGUGAUUGCAGUAGUAUGUCCGUCUAACUGU